AAAAGCAACCAUCUCCUAAGACUAAUUGGAGAUUUUUAUAAUUAAGAUAGUAUCAUUUAUAUUCUUAAUGCACCUUCUAAGUAAAUCAUUUAACUUGAAUAAUGCUUUUUAUGCUUAGAAAAGCAAUGUUUAGUAUAUAACACUAGUUGUUAAGCUUUAAUAAAAGAAUAAUGCUUUUUGCAUUGGGUAGUCAUUUAAUGAUGUACACUCAGGAGACAACAUAAUUGCUGUCUCUUGGAAAGAAGAUCCAAAACAGAUUUUAUUUGGGUGGUUCAUUCUGAUGGGACUUUGGGUUUAAUCCCAUAUCAUUGAAAGAAUUAGCUGUUAUUUGACAUAAAUCUAAAGAUUACAUUUAAAUAAUGUUUGUUGUGAGUUUAAGGUUGUUAGAUGAAAGGUGAUACUUAAAGAGGGACUUGUUUUCAGUAUGAUCAAAAGAUAGCCAUUCCAAAUUUAAAAAAAAAAAAAAAACCUUAAAAUAAAAUAGGUUUAUUCUUGUAAAAAAUAUAGCAAUCUUCAUGUCGUAUUUAGUGUUUUUAAAUGCAUUUUACUGCAACGUUAAAAAUAUAUAUUUUGUGAAAGUUUUGGGUUUUUUUCUUCAUAGGGCCUUUAAAAGGUAUUUUUUAAACUGAAUUUGCGGUGUUCUUGUAUUUAGUAGUAGUUUUACAGAAACAGAUAAAUGGAAGAGACUUUGGCUGUCAGAGUAUUAUAAGUUAGGUAUGUUAUUUCUUUAGCAGUGAAAGAAUAAGGGAGAAAAGACAAUCAGUUGAAUUUUACUUUCAGAAUUUUAAUGUCAACAUUCAAAUAAAAAACUGAAUUCUACAUGCUUUAUACAUGUGUGAGUCAUAAGAGAAUAACAUUUUCUUGUAUUGAAAUUCUGAUUUUUUUCCCCUUCUGUUUUGAAUGUUAUGUAUUGUGAUUUGUUUCUUUUUAUACUUUAUAACAUUGAACAUAUUCAGUUGUGGUUUGCUAUACAAAAAGCUAUUGCAGUUUUUGCUGUUAAAUUCAUUUCACAGUGGUUGCUGCCCAAAAUUACAGUUCACCUAGAAGUAGAUUUGAUUAGAUGUCUUUUUUUCUAGUUGGAUUAUAUUAUUUUAGGCCAUUUGGUUGUUUUAUUAGAGUGAUCCCUUUAUAAAUAUAAUUUUGGAGUUUUUAAUGAUACCUAAAUAGAUAUAAUGUUGUUACUUCUAAUGAAUUGGUUCUUUAUAAAGCCUUGAAUUAUUGGCCACAUAGAUUGAUGGUACUGAUUUGUUAAUUUAUGGUGUCAAAUCAAUUCUGUAUGGAGAAAUUAUUUUUGAAAAAUUUAUUCAUUGAAUUUGUACAUUAGUGGUUUAUAAGUACCUAAUUGAAGUGCUUAAAGAAAUUAUACUAAAUUGAUGUAAUAAAUCUGAAUUUGGACAUAGUGAUUUUGCAGUUACCCUUUUUUUUUUCUAGAAAUAAGCAGAACUUUUGAUCAUAAGCUUUUUAUUUGCAUUGUUAGCAAUUUAAUGUGGAAUAGCUCGAUCAUUAACUGACAUUGUAAACAUACUUUUAUGUGUAUAUAUAUAGGGAGAGAUGGAAGAGAAUGGUACAGAUCAUCUUCAUGCUUUAAAAAUUACAUUGAUUGUUGUGGUUCUGAUAUUAUCUUAAUUAUAAAAAUAACUUCAUUUUUCAGGUAGCUCUUCUAGUAAUUUCAGACAGUAAUAGUUUUAUCAUACCAUGAACUUCUUUUUAAGCCCCUCUUAAAGAAAAUUAUUGUGGUUGCCUUUACUAAAAAUCAUCCUUUUACCAUUAGUUUUUAAGUUGUUCUAAUUUAAUAGCUACAAGUAAACACAAAUAAUGUCUUUGCAUCCCUUUAUUUGGCUUACCAAUUAUAUUUUAGUUGGAUGGUAAAACGAUCAUAUAGAUAAAUCCGCCAAGAGUUUUGCACUCUGUUGUGAGAAGUCUAUUUUUCUUACAAAUAUUUGUGUAUGUUUUAAAGGAGAAAAUCUUUUUUCAGUAAUGUUAAGAGUAAGAGAAGUUAUUGGAUUUUUUGAGCAAAUAUUACUGUUUCCAAGCACUGCCCCCCUUCCCUUUGAUGUAUAUAGCUUUUUGGGCAAAUGAAAAGGAAAUUGAGUAUUUGGGUAGAUAGGUUGAAUGUUAUCACUUUAUGCGGCCACUCUGCUUGUUGAAAGAAAAGUAUAAAUGAAGUUAAUGCACUUCAUUUUACAACUCAGAAGUCACUGUGAUAUAUAUAUUUUUUAAUGCUAGAAACAAAACUCAGAUGAAAAGUUAAUUCAAAAGCACUGCUUCAUUUAUUCUAGCAAUUGUUAAAUUGUUUUCUGCACACUGCAUUUUGCAAAAUUUAAACUCAAGUGUAUUAUUAACUUUUAUAGUUUAAAUAUUGUAUUAAAUAAAUAAUAUAAUAAAGUAGUAGUUUGUCAUUUUUCUUUUGCCUGAAAUCAUUAAGACCAGGAAAUGAUGCAGAGGCUAGUUUUAGAAUUUGAUUUGGAGACAUUUUAGAAUCAAAUGCAAAUGUCUAAUUACAUUGCUUUGUUACAGUGUAUGUAUCAGCCUCUGAGCAAAUAGUUAAGACUAAAAUGGAACAUAGAAUAACAAAUUUGCAUUAUUGUAUGUUAGAAGGUAACAAAUUUGCGUUAUUGUAUGUUGGAAGGUUUACUUUUUAAAAUCAGUUCAGAUUUUGCAACAUGCAGAAUGCCUGCAGUAAAUCUUGCAUCCGUGCUUGACAGUUAAAAUCUUAUCUUUGUAAAUCUAUAUAAAUGUUGCUGAUUUGUAUGUAACAUCUACUGGUAGCUAUUUAUAGUAAAGCUCCCAAUUUAUUUGAGAAAAGAUAUGUGUUUUAGUAUAAAUAAUGUGGGAGCCAGCUAGUCACUUAAAAUAAUUUGUGACAGCUAUAGAGGUCUAGAGAAAAAUGUUCUGAUCAUUAAGUGCAUUUGUAUGUGUAACCUGGAAUGUGUUAACUGGUUAUUUUAUUAAUCCUAAAAUUUUGAGAUUUUUUUUUAAUAUGGCUAUUAUGAACCAGGAGAAAAUGUAAAAUGUGAGCACUUAAUAUUGACUGUGUAACUUGUGUAUUAAAAUAUUUUCAGAAAUAUUUACUGCUUUUCAUAUUUUCACUGACUUUUAGUUUUGUUUCCCGACUUUUUAGCAAUCACAAUUUAUAAGGUGCUCAUCUACCUCUUCUUGCUCAAAGUAUUUCCCCUAUUCAUGUUUACAAGUCUACAAAAAUUUUAAUAAUGUUACCCAUAACUUUUUUUAAUUGAGGGUUUAUUAUGUAUUUGGAGUAGCAAAGUGGAUUGUAUCAUUGUGGCUCCUACUUUUUCACACAGUUAUGGUUAUCAAAUAGUUACGGUUCUUAUAUUAAUAAGCACUUAAAUGCACAUCUUAAAAAACUAGUGUUGGAGACAAGAUCUGACCCCUGAACUCAGUAUGAUAAACCCACAUUUAAAAUGAUUCAAAUAAUUACCAAAUUCACUUAUUUAAGACCACAGAGCCAAUUUAGAAUUUCAUGUUUAAGGUGGUGGUACUCAUUAACCCUUUAAAGCUAGCUUGUAGAAAGAGUUGCUUUGGUGUUUAACAAACUACAGUAGAGGGGAUAUAUUUCUCAAUAUAUUUUUACUUUUACAUUUUUUCAACACCUUUAUUUUAAAGGGUUCAGUUACUUUUAUCUAUUCCCUGUUUGUUUUUUGUUUUUAAGCUAAAGUUUGUUAGUAUAAUAGGAUGCUAUUUUAAGAAAGGUCAAGAACCACUUCCUACAUUCAUGUUUUUAAUACUAAAAACUAGACUUAUAAUUGAUAAAUACAACUUCCUAAAAGUAAACUUAAUAUACAAAUGUAAGUAAUUUUACAAGGAAAAAAAUCAUUCAUUUCAUGUUCCAGGUCAGAAGUCAAAGAUUAGAGUAAUACCUAUUUGUUUAAAAAAAAAAUAGUAAUUUACUUUUGUAAUAUAGCAUGAUGGGUAAAAUCACAAGACUGGGUUUAAUUCUUUUCCAUGUGUAGUGUCAAGGGCAAAACAACACUUUGGGGCCUCGGUUUUCUAUAAAGUUGAGAUACAAUAAUCCUUGUAUUAGUUACUUCAAAGUACUUUAUGAAUCCAAGUUACCAGGUUUAUAGAUGUCCAAAGAAUGCAGUCAUGCAGUUGAUAGUGGAAGUGAAAAGGGCACUGGAUCCAGAGGACAUGGGUUCAAAUCCCUGUUUGACUUCGGCCAAGUCAUUUAAUCACUGUGUGCUUCCAUUUUAUUGAAUAUAAAAUGAGGCUGAAUUGAUGAGAUGAUAUGAGUUAACUUCAGUCGCAAAUCUAUGGUUUUAUUUUAAAAGUGGGGGGAUAUUCUAAGAGUUCCAUGAGUUUUAAGUAGAUCUUAGUGUCCAAGAUGAUCUACCAAUACAACAGUUAUCGAUUUUAAAUGUAUUUCAAGUGUUAAAAAAAAAAAAAGAAAAGAAAAGAAAAGAAAAAUUACAACAUUUUCCACUAGGUUUCUGACCUAUCCAUUGUAUCACAAUGUUUAUCAUUGCAAUUGCUAUCCAGAUGUUUCACUUGUGAAUGUUCUAAUCCAUUCCCACAGGAAUAUUACAAUCUAGGUCAAUUAAGAUAAAAACUUAAUUUUAUUGCUUGGGGGAGAGUUUUUUGCGCUAUGUACAAUCUUUUACUUUCACCUUGAAGAUUGUUCCUUUAAAACACGUGCUUAAUCUGUAUUUGUUAUUUAAUAGCUGUGGAGAAGUCUUUCUGAUCUCUGAAAGGGAUAAAAUGUGAAUAUGUUGUCUAACCCAUAUAAGAGGGUAUAGGAAUCCUUUGAGCUUAGCAUUUAAUUAUCAAGUCUCACUGAACGCAGUCAUCCUGAUUGAGAGGUAUCAAUUGUCAGUAGGUUAUAAUAACUAAAAACACCAGAAUAUGGCAUUUUAGAUAAUAGUUAAUGACUCAAACAAUUAUUUGACAUAUAUGUUACAUACAUAGUUCUUUUGAUAAUUGCUUCUGAUUUUUUGGUAACAAUACAGGACUUUUGUUUUUCUAGGUCAGUUCAUUGAAAUGGAUAGAGACAAAGAAACUUGGUUUUUGAAAAGAUCUAAUAGUUUCUCACCCACUCAUUUGUAAUGUAUUUCAGAACUGUGAAGGCUUGUGCUUGAAAAAUUGAAUGCAUUUGAAAAGCUAUUUACUAUUUACUUAUUAGGGUUUGAUCUUGAUAUAAUGUGAUUUGAGUGUUUUUAAAAUGUCAUGCUUUGAGUUUAUAAAAAACAAAAUGUUAUUUUUAAAUAAAUGUACUUAAAGCUUAAAAGCAAAAAAUGGGGAAAACAGGAUUUAAAAUAUAAAGCAAUAAAUUUCCAAUUCAAGAAAACUUAUAUAAUAAAUGCCACAUGAGUUCGGAGCUGUC
Antechinus flavipes (yellow-footed antechinus) is the source of this 5338-nucleotide long non-coding RNA. RefSeq lists it as uncharacterized. The record is from RefSeq and is a predicted model, not a curated record. Lineage: Eukaryota; Metazoa; Chordata; Mammalia; Dasyuromorphia; Dasyuridae. The transcript has 2 exons.